GGAGGAAUGGUCGAGUGGUUUAAGGCAGCGGUCUUGAAAACCGCCGUACAGCAAUGUACCGAGGGUUCGAAUCCCUCUUCCUCCGCCA
This 88-nucleotide transfer RNA is filed under the name Lentisphaeria bacterium. RNAcentral describes it as "tRNA-Ser". It matches the Rfam family "tRNA". Rfam says of the family: Transfer RNA (tRNA) molecules are approximately 80 nucleotides in length. Their secondary structure includes four short double-helical elements and three loops (D, anti-codon, and T loops). The record is from RNAcentral. Lineage: Bacteria; Pseudomonadati; Lentisphaerota; Lentisphaeria.